AGUCAAUAGAUACCCGGUAGUCCACGCCGUAAACGAUGUCGACUUGGAGGUUGUGCCCUUGAGGCGUGGCUUCCGGAGCUAAACGCGUUAAAGUCGACCGCCUGGGGAGUACGGCCGCAAGGUUAAAACUCAAAUGAAUUGACGGGGGGCCCGCACAAGCGGUGGAGCAUGUGGUUUAAUUCGAUGCAACGCGAAGAACCUUACCUACUCUUGACAUCCAGAGAACUUAGCAGAGAUGCUUUGGUGCCUUCGGGAACUCUGAGACAGGUGCUGCAUGGCUGUCGUCAGCUCGUGUUGUGAAAUGUUGGGUUAAAGUCCCGCAACGAGCGCAACCCUUAUCCUUUGUUGCCAGCGGUUAGGCCGGGAACUCAAAGGAGACUGCCAGUGAUAAACUGGAGGAAGGUGGGGAUGACGUCAAGUCAUCAUGGCCCUUACGAGUAGGGCUACACACGUGCUACAAUGGCGCAUACAAAGAGAAGCGACCUCGCGAGAGCAAGCGGACCUCAUAAAGUGCGUCGUAGUCCGG
This 526-nucleotide ribosomal RNA is filed under the name uncultured bacterium. Its description in RNAcentral is "bacterial SSU rRNA". It matches the Rfam family "Bacterial small subunit ribosomal RNA", at positions 774 to 1296 of the family's 1533-position model. The record is from RNAcentral.